This 394-nucleotide ribosomal RNA is filed under the name uncultured bacterium. RNAcentral describes it as "partial 16S ribosomal RNA". It matches the Rfam family "Bacterial small subunit ribosomal RNA", at positions 523 to 918 of the family's 1533-position model. The record is from RNAcentral.
AUACGUAGGGGACGAGCGUUGUCCGGAAUUACUGGGCGUAAAGGGCGCGCAGGCGGAUAUUUAAGUCAGCUGUAAAAGGCAUGAGCUCAACUCAUGUAUGCGGUUGAAACUGGGUAUCUAGAGUGCUGGAGAGGUAGGCGGAAUUCCCGGUGUAGCGGUGAAAUGCGUAGAUAUCGGGAAGAACACCAGUGGCGAAGGCGGCUUACUGGCCAGCAACUGACGCUGAGGCGCGAAAGCCAGGGGAGCGAACGGGAUUUGAUACCCCGGUAGUCCUGGCCGUAAACGAUGAAUGCUAGGUGUGGGUGUCGAGAGGCAUCCGUGCCGGAGUUAACGCGAUAAGCAUUCCGCCUGGGGAGUACGAUCGCAAGAUUGAAACUCAAAGGAAUUGACGGGG